RNAcentral lists this ribosomal RNA (253 nucleotides) under uncultured bacterium. RNAcentral's name for it is "partial 16S ribosomal RNA". It matches the Rfam family "Bacterial small subunit ribosomal RNA", at positions 524 to 776 of the family's 1533-position model. The record is from RNAcentral.
UACGUAGGGUGCAAGCGUUGUCCGGAUUUACUGGGCGUAAAGGGCGCGUAGGCGGUGCGGUAAGUCACUUGUGAAAUCUCUGAGCUUAACUCAGAACGGCCAAGUGAUACUGCAGUGCUAGAGUGCAGAAAGGGCAAUCGGAAUUCUUGGUGUAGCGGUGAAAUGCGUAGAUAUCAAGAGGAACACCUGAGGCGAAGGCGGGUUGCUAGGCUGACACUGACGCUGAGGCGCGAAAGCCAGGGGAGCAAACGGG